This is a non-coding RNA of Salmo salar (Atlantic salmon), 93 nucleotides long. The record is from Rfam. Lineage: Eukaryota; Metazoa; Chordata; Actinopteri; Salmoniformes; Salmonidae.
UUCCCUGUGGCUCAGUUGGUAGAGCAUGGUGUUUGCAACGCCAGCAUGGUGUGUGCAACGCCAGGGUUGUGGGCUCGAUUCCCACGGGGGACC